Molecule: long non-coding RNA, 517 nt
Organism: Pomacea canaliculata
Lineage: Eukaryota; Metazoa; Mollusca; Gastropoda; Architaenioglossa; Ampullariidae
Exons: 3
Source: RefSeq, a predicted model, not a curated record
GCGAAACUCAACGAAAGAUAAAGGUAAAGAAGCAUUUCGUGUUCCCGGGACAUUGAUGGGACACAGUGUCGUCACCUUUAUUAUGCAGUUUCUCGCAACACUCACAGAUUAGCUCAAGACAGCGGCUUGCUCGCUUUCUUGCGGACAUGACGGAGCACUUCUAGGACAUUAUUGAACUUACAUUUCAUUGGACGAUUUCAGCCAAUCCCCACUACGGUUAUAUCGUCUGAUGGAAAUUUUAACUGCGAUUUUGACGACUUGUAGAAGCCGAAUAAAUCUUGACUUUCUGUGGAGAAAUAAUAGUAAAGCCAAAACAAUGCCAAGGUCACGCAGAAAGCGUUCUUACAGCAGGGACAGUUCCUAUGAUUGUGAAUAUCGCCACAAAAGGCACCGAGGUGGCACAUAUGAUGACUAUUAUGACAUUAGAUCACGCCACUCUAGAUCUAGAAGUCUAGAACGAUAUGAUUCAUAUGGUCGUCGGCAUGACUACACAGACACCAGUAUUACCGAGAUCGCU